CUCUGUCAUGCUUAUCUACCCUAGUCACAAAGACCUGUUUAACUUGCUGUGAAGUUGUGAUGGACCAAAUUAGAAAGCUUGCACAAAACUGUUUAUAGCUGUGUCUGUCAGUGCUAGUAAAAAAAAAAAUAGGCAGGGAAAUAAUAUUUACAUAGACCAGAGCCCUCUGUUUUACUGUUGCUACCUCCUUGCCAAUAUUCAGCUGCAGGAAAGGAGAUUAUUACUCAAAGAAAGGAGAGGAAAAUGCAGUAGAAGAAGCUGGCCUAAAUUGCCUCUCUCGUCAACUUAAUACUUCCAUCGGACAAGAAAAGGUGUAAUUCCACAAGAUAUCUGUAAUGGAAUUGUCAAUCAAAAAUGAGCUGGAGGAAAAUGCUGUCUCAGAGUAUAAAAUGGCUUGGGCAGACUCUCAACACUGUAAUCCUCGGACCCAGUGGCAUCUGCAAAGCUGCUGCAGCAGCUGGAUCCAAAGCCUGCCAAUGGAUCAGUUGCCAUCACUAGUAAAAUGCCAUCCAUAGGCUGAUAUCUGGAUCCUCAAGAAAGUAAAGGAAGAGGAACAAAAUGCGAAAGGCAAGUAGCAGUGAGAUAGGAGGAAUUGUGUUCAGCUUCAAAUUAAAUCUUUCUGCUUAAUUUCAUGGUUUUUCAUGUGAAAUUGUUUCUUUACAUAGUAAGCUUUGACCCACUUUUACUGCAUUCCUCCAAAUCCAUGAUAUACUUCUAAUAUGAUUCAAGAACAUUUGAUCACAGGGCAGUUAAGUAGACACUGUAAUGUGCAUGUGAUUGAAGAAAUGUGCAGUAUUUGUGAGUUGGUUCUUCUUUUCAUGCUAGGGCUUUUCUUAAAUUAGGGUGAUGUCGUCAAAAAAUAAGAAAAAUAAGAAGGCUAUGAUAAUGUCCUAAAACAAGCUUUGGGUGCAUCAGUCUUCCAGAAAAGCAGACUACAUACUUUAGAAGAUUUAAAAUCUUUCCAUAGAUUUUGUGGACUCUGAGCUUCAUGAGCAUGUGUAUUAUUAUUAUGUUGUGUGGAGAACUUGCUGUCAUGCAGUCACUGUGCAAACAAUCUUUGAACAGCAAACACACACUCUUACUAAAUUUAUGAAUGAUCCUAUAAGGUGGCCAUUUAUUUAAAAUGUAAUGACUGUAAAUAUGUUUUGUAAGCAGGAUUCCUUUCUUCAUAGCAUGAUUUUAUAAUUAUACACACACAUGAUGUAUUGGAAAUUCACAGGUAAUUAGUAAUAAAAGACAAUCACGGUGUGCUGUA
Molecule: long non-coding RNA, 1255 nt
Organism: Alligator mississippiensis (American alligator)
Lineage: Eukaryota; Metazoa; Chordata; Crocodylia; Alligatoridae
Exons: 2
Source: RefSeq, a predicted model, not a curated record